UAACGGCCGCGGUACCCUAACCGUGCGAAGGUAGCAUAAUCACUUGUUCUUUAAAUAGGGACUAGUAUCAACGGCAUCACGAGGGUUACACUGUCUCCUUUCUCCAAUCAGUGAAACUGAUCUCCCCGUGAAGAAGCGAGGAUAUAACUAUUAGACGAGAAGACCCCAUGGAGCUUUAAGCUCAACAACAAUUUUUAUGAAAAUAAUUCCUCAUAGUACACAAACCCUGUUUGUUAGCUUUAGGUUGGGGUGACCGCGGAGUAUAAUUUAACCUCCACAACGAAAAGGCAUAAAACCCUUAUCCAAGAGCCACUGCUCUAAGAAUCACUAAAUUGACGUAUAAUGAUCCGAUUUUCGAUCAACGGACUAAGUUACCCUGGGGAUAACAGCGCAAUCCAUUUUUAGAGCCCCUAUCGACAAA
Molecule: ribosomal RNA, 421 nt
Filed under: Amietia nutti
Lineage: Eukaryota; Metazoa; Chordata; Amphibia; Anura; Pyxicephalidae
Description: partial 16S ribosomal RNA
Rfam family: Bacterial large subunit ribosomal RNA
Source: RNAcentral